Molecule: ribosomal RNA, 301 nt
Filed under: uncultured bacterium
Lineage: Bacteria
Description: partial 16S ribosomal RNA
Rfam family: Bacterial small subunit ribosomal RNA
Source: RNAcentral
CAGUAGCCACGGGAAUACGUAGGGUGCAAGCGUUAAUCGGAAUUACUGGGCGUAAAGCGUGCGCAGGCGGUUAUAUAAGACAGAUGUGAAAUCCCCGGGCUCAACCUGGGAACUGCAUUUGUGACUGUAUAGCUAGAGUACGGCAGAGGGGGAUGGAAUUCCGCGUGUAGCAGUGAAAUGCGUAGAUAUGCGGAGGAACACCGAUGGCGAAGGCAAUCCCCUGGGCCUGUACUGACGCUCAUGCACGAAAGCGUGGGGAGCAAACAGGAUUAGAUACCCCCGUAGUCCCUGUCUCUUAUCC